This 168-nucleotide microRNA precursor is filed under the name Medicago truncatula (barrel medic). Its description in RNAcentral is "MIR2680 microRNA precursor family". It matches the Rfam family "MIR2680 microRNA precursor family". The record is from Rfam by way of RNAcentral. Lineage: Eukaryota; Viridiplantae; Streptophyta; Magnoliopsida; Fabales; Fabaceae.
AUAGGAUCUAGACCGGGCAUAUCUUCAUACGACCAUGCAAAAAUAUCCGGAUAUUCCCGGAGGAGCUGGAUGAUCUUACUUUUAACCUCUUCCCCUAGAGCAGCACCGAUCUUGAUUUCCCGCUUGUUCUCCUCGGUACCUAUGUUGAUAAGCUCAAUCUCUUCCUGA